ACCAGGGUGGUGCAAUGGUUAGCACAUCUGCCUAGUGAGCUGGAGCCCCGGGUUCGAAUCCUGACCUUGGCA
Non-coding RNA from Schistocerca cancellata (South American locust), 72 nucleotides. The record is from the annotation of a RefSeq genome assembly. Lineage: Eukaryota; Metazoa; Arthropoda; Insecta; Orthoptera; Acrididae.